GCAAGUCGAGCGAUGAAACUUUAACAGAACCCUUCGGGGCGAAGAUAAAUUGGAUUAGCGGCGGACGGGUGAGUAACACGUGAGUAACCUGCCUUACCCAUUGGGAUAGCCUCGGGAAACCGGGAUUAAUACCAAAUAAAAUCAUAAUGACACAUGUCAUAACGAUCAAAACUCCGGUGGUCUAAGAUGGACUCGCGUCCCAUUAGCUAGGUGGUAGAGUAAAAGCCGACCAAGGCGACGAGGGGUAGCCGGCCUGAGAGGGUGAGC
RNAcentral lists this ribosomal RNA (267 nucleotides) under uncultured bacterium. RNAcentral describes it as "partial 16S ribosomal RNA". It matches the Rfam family "Bacterial small subunit ribosomal RNA", at positions 57 to 305 of the family's 1533-position model. The record is from RNAcentral.